RNAcentral lists this non-coding RNA (29 nucleotides) under Mus musculus (house mouse). The record is from RNAcentral. Lineage: Eukaryota; Metazoa; Chordata; Mammalia; Rodentia; Muridae.
UGCUUGCAAGUCUUAACAUGUUUGUUUGA